AUACGGAGGAUGCAAGCGUUAUCCGGAUUCAUUGGGUUUAAAGGGUGCGCAGGUGGGAAUGUAAGUCAGUGGUGAAAUACUGCCGCUUAACGGUAGAACUGCCAUUGAUACUGCGUUUCUUGAGUAUGGUUGAGGUAGGCGGAAUGUGUUGUGUAGCGGUGAAAUGCAUAGAUAUGACACAGAACGCCGAUUGCGAAGGCAGCUUACUAAGCCAUUACUGACGCUGAGGCACGUAAGCGUGGGGAGCGAACAGGAUUAGAAACCCCGGUAGUCC
RNAcentral lists this ribosomal RNA (274 nucleotides) under uncultured bacterium. RNAcentral's name for it is "partial 16S ribosomal RNA". It matches the Rfam family "Bacterial small subunit ribosomal RNA", at positions 523 to 796 of the family's 1533-position model. The record is from RNAcentral.